AGUGCUGAUGAUGAGUGAAGUUCUUGCCUACAUUGUUUGACAAAUAGUAUGUGAUGAUAAUUGCUGCAUCUGAGGCUUGU
Triticum urartu is the source of this 80-nucleotide non-coding RNA. The record is from Rfam. Lineage: Eukaryota; Viridiplantae; Streptophyta; Magnoliopsida; Poales; Poaceae.